UUCGUUAUGGUUAACAUAUAAUUGUGAAUUUGAAUGGAGGAAUUGGAACUCUUAUUAUGCAUAGAAUUAUGGAAAUCCCAGUCUAAUUAAAGUAUCUAUCCCUCUUGGACCCUUUUGUUCUCAAGUCUAGGCAAUGUUAAAACUCUUUUCUUAUGGAAAUUCAGCAUGAUUUAAAAACCCUAGGAGAGAAUUCUAAUUUGGUUAUCAUGAGAAUUGCAAAGUUAAAAAACAUAGAUACUUUUAUGCAGAGUCAAGGAGGUUAAGAAUUUAGAGCAUAUCUAUGUUAAGUUUUUAGAUAUUUCAUCAAUUCGUAUGGUC
RNAcentral lists this long non-coding RNA (318 nucleotides) under Phoenix dactylifera (date palm). Its description in RNAcentral is "long non-coding RNA (PDAC_LNC002632)". Lineage: Eukaryota; Viridiplantae; Streptophyta; Magnoliopsida; Arecales; Arecaceae. The record is from RNAcentral.